UGCGAAGGUAGCAUAAUCAUUAGCCUUUUGAUUUGAGGCUGGAAUGAAUGGUUUGACGAGAGAUGGUCUGUCUCUUCGAUUAAAUUGAAGUUAAUCUUUAAGUGAAAAAGCUUAAAUAUACUUGGAGGGCGAUAAGACCCUAUAGAUCUUUACAUUUAAUUCUUUUGUCUCGCGGUAGGUAAUUAGACAGAGUAAUAUAAUGUUCGGUUGGGGCGACGGUAAGAACAGAAUAAACACUUACAACAUAAAGACAUCAAUAAAUGAUCAUUGAUCCUUAGAUGAAUAAAGACCAAGUUACCUUAGGGAUAACAGCGUAAUUCUUUUUGAGAGUUCAAAUCGACAAAAGAGUUUGCGACCUCGAUGUUGGUUCAGGGAUCCUACUCGGUGCAGCAGCCUAGAGAGGCAGU
Molecule: ribosomal RNA, 407 nt
Filed under: Artemia franciscana
Lineage: Eukaryota; Metazoa; Arthropoda; Branchiopoda; Anostraca; Artemiidae
Description: partial 16S ribosomal RNA
Rfam family: Bacterial large subunit ribosomal RNA
Source: RNAcentral